GUGCUCACUUCAGCAGCAUAUAUACUAAAAUUGGAAUGAUGCAGAGAAGAUUAGCAUGAUCUCUGUGCAAGGAUGAAAUACAAAUUCAUGAAGCAUUCCAUAUUUUU
RNAcentral lists this small nuclear RNA (107 nucleotides) under Macaca fascicularis (crab-eating macaque). Lineage: Eukaryota; Metazoa; Chordata; Mammalia; Primates; Cercopithecidae. The record is from RNAcentral.